AAAAAGAAAAGGGACGCACGGUGGACUUUGUGCGUGGAUCAUGAGUAAAAAGGAAGCAGUGCCGCUGAUACCGACUGAACCAGUGAACCAAACCAUGGGGACGGGCAAAGUGAGCUUGAAGCUUCUGAUCGACGGGAGCAAACGAACGGUGCUCUUUGCGGAGGCAAGCAAAGAUUUUGUCGACUUUCUCUUCCACAUCCU
Rhodamnia argentea is the source of this 201-nucleotide long non-coding RNA. RefSeq lists it as uncharacterized. The record is from RefSeq and is a predicted model, not a curated record. The transcript is spliced from 3 exons. NCBI's taxonomy places the organism in Eukaryota, Viridiplantae, Streptophyta, Magnoliopsida, Myrtales, Myrtaceae.